This is a long non-coding RNA of Passer domesticus (house sparrow), 510 nucleotides long. RefSeq lists it as uncharacterized. The transcript is spliced from 3 exons. NCBI's taxonomy places the organism in Eukaryota, Metazoa, Chordata, Aves, Passeriformes, Passeridae. The record is from RefSeq and is a predicted model, not a curated record.
CCUGCCAAGGUCACCAUGACAACAACUGACCACCAAGAGCAGAGACAGGGGUCAUGGAGAAGCAGGGCCAAACACGGCCUCGUGUCACCUUCUUUGCACCACCCCAGAGCCAGCAGAUCAGCAUGCCCCGAGCAGCCCUGCAGAUUGGGACCAUGAUUUGGACUACCCCCUGCCCACAUCCAGCAGCCACACCAGUGCCCAUGAGCUGCAGCUCCUGGAGGAGCAGGUUAAAAACUUUGACAAGGCCAAAAAGAAAACCCAUCGUCUCUACAAACAAUUACGGCAGCAGUUCUUGAAAGAACAGGAGAGAAAGAUGGCAUGGAGGAAGAAGACAGCCGAACAGUUUAAAAAAUCCCUGGAAGUGUUCGAUCGCAGGAGUGGGAAGGUGCCCGGUGCCCCCUCCCGUUUCCCUGCGGGUGUAGGGAAGCCCUCGGAACAGGCAGGAGCUGCCGACAAAGAAGGGACCCAGUGACACGUCCAGAGAGCUCCUCCUGCAGGCCGUGCCCGGCU